GGAUGUGAGGGCGAUCUGGCUGCUGCAUCUGUCACCCGCAUUAAUCAUCAGGGUUGAUUAAGCUGAUCUGGCUGUCUAGGCAGGUGUCCCCUCCCUCCAUCACUGCUCUCUGUAUGUCCCUCCCUAAGCUGCUCACUCAGUCAAAGAGGACGGCCUUCCCGAAUAGAGACAGACCAGUCGAGAAUAUAUGAGUAGCUGCACUCCCCUCCUAGAAUCUCCAAACAAUCUCUCAAGAAAUGCAAGGAAAGUCCCAGCAGUGCCAGGGCUGGGAGAAAUAUGGAUUUUAAAGGUAAUGGGAAAGGUUCCUUGCCAUCUUA
Molecule: unclassified non-coding RNA, 317 nt
Organism: Erinaceus europaeus (western European hedgehog)
Lineage: Eukaryota; Metazoa; Chordata; Mammalia; Eulipotyphla; Erinaceidae
Gene: 7SK
Rfam family: 7SK RNA
About the family: 7SK was discovered as an abundant small nuclear RNA in the mid-70s but a possible function has only recently been suggested. Two independent studies have found that 7SK RNA binds the CDK9/cyclin T complex (known as elongation factor P-TEFb).
Source: Ensembl